Molecule: ribosomal RNA, 254 nt
Filed under: uncultured bacterium
Lineage: Bacteria
Description: partial 16S ribosomal RNA
Rfam family: Bacterial small subunit ribosomal RNA
Source: RNAcentral
UACGUAGGGGGCAAGCGUUGUCCGGAUUUAUUGGGCGUAAAGAGCGUGUAGGCGGCCAGGUAGGUCCGUUGUGAAAACUCGAGGCUCAACCUCGAGACGUCGAUGGAAACCCUCUGGCUAGAGUCCGGAAGAGGAGAGUGGAAUUCCUGGUGUAGCGGUGAAAUGCGCAGAUAUCAGGAAGAACACCCGUGGCGAAGGCGGCUCUCUGGGACGGUACUGACGCUGAGACGCGAAAAGCGUGGGGAGCGAACAGG